GACGGAGGGUGCAAACGUUGUUCGGAAUUACUGGGCGUAAAGCGCGCGUAGGCGGCUUAGCAAGUCGGGUGUGAAAGCCCUGGGCUCAACCUAGGAAGUGCACUCGAAACUGCCUCGCUUGAGUGUCGGAGAGGAAAGCGGAAUUCUCGGUGUAGAGGUGAAAUGCGUAGAUAUCGAGAGGAACACCGGUGGCGAAGGCGGCUUUCUGGACGAUAACUGACGCUGAGACACGAAGGCCAGGGGAGCAAACGGG
RNAcentral lists this ribosomal RNA (253 nucleotides) under uncultured bacterium. Its description in RNAcentral is "partial 16S ribosomal RNA". It matches the Rfam family "Bacterial small subunit ribosomal RNA", at positions 524 to 776 of the family's 1533-position model. The record is from RNAcentral.